UACGGGGGGGGCAAGCGUUGUUCGGAAUUACUGGGCGUAAAGGGCUCGUAGGCGGCCAACUAAGUCAUACGUGAAAUCCCUCAGCUUAACUGGGGAACUGCGUGUGAUACUGGAUGGCUUGGAUUUGGGAGAGGGAUGCGGAAUUCCAGGUGUAGCGGUGAAAUGCGUAGAUAUCUGGAGGAACACCGGUGGCGAAGGCGGCAUCCUGGACCGAUUCUGACGCUCAGGAGCGAAAGCGUGGGUAGCGAUCCGG
Molecule: ribosomal RNA, 253 nt
Filed under: uncultured bacterium
Lineage: Bacteria
Description: partial 16S ribosomal RNA
Rfam family: Bacterial small subunit ribosomal RNA
Source: RNAcentral